Molecule: non-coding RNA, 121 nt
Organism: Mesocricetus auratus (golden hamster)
Lineage: Eukaryota; Metazoa; Chordata; Mammalia; Rodentia; Cricetidae
Source: Rfam
AAGUUGGAGGAGAAAAAGUUAGACUCCCUUGACAAGGUUGGAAGAAUCCCUUGGGACUAAAAAUGCCCACACAGUUUAGUCAUUGCUAUUUAUUUCCUAGUUAUUUUAAUAAGUAAUACUU